CACCAGACUCCUACGGGAGGCAGCAGUGGGGAAUAUUGCACAAUGGGGGAAACCCUGAUGCAGCGACGCCGCGUGAGUGAAGAAGUAUUUCGGUAUGUAAAGCUCUAUCAGCAGGGAAGAAAAUGACGGUACCUGACUAAGAAGCCCCGGCUAACUACGUGCCAGCAGCCGCGGUAAUACGUAGGGGGCAAGCGUUAUCCGGAUUUACUGGGUGUAAAGGGAGCGUAGACGGCAUGGCAAGUCAGAUGUGAAGGCCCGGGGCUCAACCCCGGGACUGCAUUUGAAACUGUCAGGCUGGAGUGCAGGAGAGGUAAGUGGAAUUCCUAGUGUAGCGGUGAAAUGCGUAGAUAUCAGGAGGAACACCGGUGGCGAAGGCGGCCUGCUGGACUGCAACUGACGUUGAGGCCCGAAAGCGUGGGGAGCAAACAGGAUUAGAUACCCUCGUACG
Molecule: ribosomal RNA, 448 nt
Filed under: uncultured bacterium
Lineage: Bacteria
Description: bacterial SSU rRNA
Rfam family: Bacterial small subunit ribosomal RNA
Source: RNAcentral